AUGCUACUAAACGUGAUUAUAUAUAAUUACAUGUAUAUGACCAUAUGUGACUAUAUAUGACUACAUGUAUAUGACUAUAUGUGACUAUAUAUGACUACAUGUAUAUGACUAUAUGUGACUAUAUAUGACUACAUGUAUAUGACUAUAUGUGACUAUAUAUGACUACAUGUAUAUGACUAUAUGUGACUAUAUAUAACUACAUGUGACUAACUAUAUGAGUAUAGUCAUGUAUAGUAUAAUUUGAAUUUAUAGCUUCAAAUCUCACUUUUCAACCCGACAACUCCGAUCUAUCGAAACUAGAACACUAAAAGCAGGCUCGGUUCGAUCCCAAACCAAAAUAAAACGUAAAAUAAAAAAAAAGGAGAAAAUCCACCCCUAUGAAACCCUUCCCCGUCGCCACACCUGGCCACCGCGAGCUCCUCAUCGACCGCUCAAAACUGUUGCACAUAAAAUACUAAUACUAUCAAAUUCAGCAAUUUAUUAUAUGCAGAAAAGAUUAGUUUUUUCUACAAGUUGGUGUUGUGUAUGCAUGUACUGUAUAAAAAAUAAUAUAUAUUGAAACAAUAGCAUACAUCAAGAUCAAAGAUUCAAAUCCCCAUUAUACUAAAGUAAAUAUUCAAUAAUUAUUAUUUGUAUAUUUCAUAUUAAAAAUAAAUAAAGAAAGUGUGUCUUCAUCAUCAUUCAUCAACAACCCAUUACCACCACCCACUUUCUUUAUUUAUGGAAUUUUUUUUAAUUGAUUCUUCCUCCCUAAAUAGAAUUGAAAUCAUAGCAUAAUUUACAGUCUUUAAAAAAAAUAAAAAAAAAAUGGAGCGUGCCCGAAAAUUAGUGAACAGAGCAAUACUCAGACGCCUGGUUUCUGAAUCCAAGCAGCAGCAGCCAUUGUACAGAUCCUCGAGGUACGUUUCCUCCUUCUCUCCGGCUUUAGUGCCACGUGGCAGCAAUGUUGUCGGAAAAGCUCACAGCUUCACGUUCGCCCGAUCCAUCUCCGUCGACGCCCUCAAACCGAGCGACACCUUCGCCCGCCGGUAGAACGGCGAGAGAGAGUAAGAAAGAGGGACUGAGGGAGAGAUGAAGAGGGAUGGAAAGAACGGCGGUAUGAGUUGGAAGAGAGAAGAUUAGAAGGGUUAGGGCAUAUAUUGAAUUAAAACUAAAAAGGGUAAAAUAGGUACUUCAAAUUGUCUAGGGGGUCUCACUAAUUAAGAUCAGAAUUUGGGUUUUUGACUAGAGCAGAAAAAUUUGUUGGGCC
This 1249-nucleotide long non-coding RNA is filed under the name Erythranthe guttata (spotted monkey flower). Its description in RNAcentral is "long non-coding RNA (EGUT_LNC003193)". The record is from RNAcentral. Lineage: Eukaryota; Viridiplantae; Streptophyta; Magnoliopsida; Lamiales; Phrymaceae.